Atta colombica is the source of this 1424-nucleotide long non-coding RNA. RefSeq lists it as uncharacterized. The transcript has 5 exons. NCBI's taxonomy places the organism in Eukaryota, Metazoa, Arthropoda, Insecta, Hymenoptera, Formicidae. The record is from RefSeq and is a predicted model, not a curated record.
UUGUCGAUGUCGUUAAUAAUGUCGGUCGAUAAACUAAGUAAGUGCGAUUCUAUAUCAUUGCUGUCGAUGAAUAUUUGACGAUAUUUAUCAUUAAUGACAACUAUCGUUAACUUUAAUGUAAUCCCCUAUAAGUGAUGAAAACGUCGUACCGACACAUUUGAACUUAUUAAUGAUAACUAAAAAUAGUAAAAACCUGCGUCACUUAUUAAGCAAAUUGAAGGCAUUAUAAAAUUUUUAGCGUGGGAUUAAAUAUAUUUGGAGCAUCGAUUAAGACGCGUUUUGAACGUGUUCAAAGAAAAGAAUGGCGAGACAUGCAUGAUCUCUUUGAUCUUCAUUACACGAAAUUUCUUAUAAUAACGAAAGUUAUACCAAGUUAAUACAGAGAUUGCAAUGAAUUUGAUUGAUAUAAUGGAUUUGAUUGAUAUUAAGAUGAAAAUUAGAACUUGAAUGGCAACAUGGUCUUAUCCAGAAUGUCAGAUAUUAACAACUCUGCGAUUUUAUGCUGUUUCCAAGGUGUAAUUGAAGAACAAUGGGAUAUAAUUAAGGCAGCCAUCAGUCAUUGCACAUGAAGAGUCAUAAAUGAUAUUCUGCUGUGACAAUGAGUACAAUUUCCCACGACUGACGCCAAACAGCCCAGGAAAAAUUUUAAAAUGCUCCUCAACUGUUUAUAGGCAAUUGGGGCAAUUGAUUGCACUUAUAUUAAUAUAAAAGAACCUAAGGAAUACGAAGAAACAUGUGAAUCAUUGGGGUGAUCAUGCACUCAAUGUUCAAGUUAUAUCCAGGAGCAAAACAUGAUGUGUACAUUUGGUCCAAUUCUCUUGUGCAACAUAUCAUGAAACGAAGAUAUAAUAACGGAGAAUACUUGAUUAAAAGGCGAUGGAUACAGCCUAGAGCCAUGGCUAAUGACUUCUCUAAAACAUGAAAAAUCAAAUAUGCCUAGGUUCCAAUACAAUGAGAAUUUGUGCAGUGCUAGGUCAUGUAUAAAACGCUUUGAUGUUUGGAAAGCAAUGUUUCGAUGUCUAACGACUCAGAGGAGAUUAAUAUAUGAACCAGGCAUGGCUGGCAAAAUUAUUAAUGCAUGUGCUGUGUUGCACAACAUGAGGAUUGCACAUGGUAUACAUGAUGAUCUGGAAAUAGACGAAAUGGACAAUGAACACUUAGAUCAUAGGAUUAAUCCAGUUGUAGAGCAUGAAGAUUUCGAGGAGCACUUGCCGCAAGUAUACAGGAACGAUUUAUUAUUCGCCACUAUGGAAGAAAUUAACUUAUCAUUUUUAUUCUUCUUUCCUUCCCAUGAAAUAAAGGACUCUGAUUGGUUGAAUUUCUUAUGUCCCAUGCAUUUUACAUUAAAAAAAAAAAGCGUGUGCUCCUCACUUUACUGUAUAAAUCAAGUUAGUUUAUGCAAAAAAUAGUAUAAAAAACAUAGA